UAGGAUAAGGGUGUUACCAAAAAUAUUCCAGUGAUACACUGCUCGAAUUACUUUCCCUUUCUUAAGCUAAUCGUUAUCAAAGUCAAACCUUAUUCGCUCUGUUAUAAAGUUGUCCAUUGAGCGUUCAAAGUCGUCUAACGAGAUAAUUACCAUUUCGUUAUAAAUAAAAUUCAUAACAUGUUUGACAUAUUUUCUCUAAAAAACCUUGGAUUUUAAUAUUUAGCUGUGCAUACUAAAACAUUAGUUCCAUAAGAGUUCCAUAAAACAUAAGUUCCAUAAGUUUCCAAAAAAUCCAUAUUAAUCGUUGCGAAAAAUAAAUAUGAGUCAAAAUAUAAAAACCGUGCUGUGUGCCUCAGUGUUAUGAUGGGCCUUCAAGACGGUAAUUACGGUAUAAUUAUGGCUUAAAACCUCGCAAAAAUGGUAUGUUAGUGUUUAAAUGAAAUACAUUUUAUUACUUUAUUAUUUCGUCUUCUAUACAUACAGGUGAUGCCGCUGUUCUAAACUUGAAGCAUUGUAGACGCUAUGAUCACGUGAGAAAACCACACACGAAAAGUUUUCGCAUAAGACACGGCAAAAAUCUAAAGCAUUGAUGAUGCUAGGGAUCACCAGCUCUCCAGAUCCAGUAAGAAAACCACACACGAAAAAUUUUCGCAUAAGAGACAAGUAAGGUUGUCUGAUCCUAAUUACUCUUCUGUUAAUAUAAAACUAUUAUCAGUAUUUUUUUAAUUUUUACCAGUUUGAUUUUGGUUGAUUUCUAUUUUGAGAUAAGCAUAUUUUCUUGGAUUGAAGGAAAGCAACAAAAGUAAAAUGAAAGUAAUGUAUCAAUGCAAAUUGCUAUACCUAACUGUAUUUCUACACAA
This is a long non-coding RNA of Dendroctonus ponderosae (mountain pine beetle), 860 nucleotides long. RefSeq lists it as uncharacterized. The transcript is spliced from 2 exons. Lineage: Eukaryota; Metazoa; Arthropoda; Insecta; Coleoptera; Curculionidae. The record is from RefSeq and is a predicted model, not a curated record.